UACGAAGGGGGCUAGCGUUGCUCGGAAUCACUGGGCGUAAAGGGUGCGUAGGCGGGUCUUUAAGUCAGGGGUGAAAUCCUGGAGCUCAACUCCAGAACUGCCUUUGAUACUGAAGAUCUUGAGUUCGGGAGAGGUGAGUGGAACUGCGAGUGUAGAGGUGAAAUUCGUAGAUAUUCGCAAGCAGACCUGUGGCGAAGGCGAGUCACUGGCCGGAUGCUGACGCUGAGGCACGGAAGGGUGGGGAGCAAACAGG
This 253-nucleotide ribosomal RNA is filed under the name uncultured bacterium. RNAcentral's name for it is "partial 16S ribosomal RNA". It matches the Rfam family "Bacterial small subunit ribosomal RNA", at positions 524 to 776 of the family's 1533-position model. The record is from RNAcentral.